This 429-nucleotide ribosomal RNA is filed under the name Actinomycetes bacterium. RNAcentral's name for it is "Actinobacteria bacterium partial 16S ribosomal RNA". It matches the Rfam family "Bacterial small subunit ribosomal RNA", at positions 355 to 776 of the family's 1533-position model. Lineage: Bacteria; Bacillati; Actinomycetota; Actinomycetes. The record is from RNAcentral.
UAGGGAAUCUUCCGCAAUGGGCGAAAGCCUGACGGAGCAACGCCGCGUGAGUGAUGAAGGUCUUCGGAUCGUAAAACUCUGUUAUUAGGGAAGAACAAAUGUGUAAGUAACUAUGCACGUCUUGACGGUACCUAAUCAGAAAGCCACGGCUAACUACGUGCCAGCAGCCGCGGUAAUACGUAGGUGGCAAGCGUUAUCCGGAAUUAUUGGGCGUAAAGCGCGCGUAGGCGGUUUUUUAAGGCUGAUGUGAAAGCCCACGGCUCAACCGUGGAGGGUCAUUGGAAACUGGAAAACUUGAGUGCAGAAGAGGAAAGUGGAAUUCCAUGUGGAGCGGUGAAAUGCGCAGAGAUAUGGAGGAACACCAGUGGCGAAGGCGACUUUCUGGUCUGUAACUGACGCUGAUGUGCGAAAGCGUGGGGAUCAAACAGG